RNAcentral lists this long non-coding RNA (1590 nucleotides) under Cavia porcellus (domestic guinea pig). RNAcentral's name for it is "lncRNA (ENSCPOG00000031358.1)". Lineage: Eukaryota; Metazoa; Chordata; Mammalia; Rodentia; Caviidae. The record is from RNAcentral.
GGAAGGAGAGAGUCAGUGAGAAGCGCAACCAAUGCGGGGAGCCGGCCUGCAGCCAGUGGGCGCCCGCGGUUUCCAAAGACCCGCCCCUGCGCGCCAGUGGUGGGCGGAUGGGCGCUAGGAGCUGCACUUAAAAGGCGGGGAAUCGCUAGCCGCAAGAUUUUUCCUCGACAGAUCCUGCCGCAGUGUAUUCCUCCCGCACCACUCGCCUCCACCCGUCGCUGCCACCGCCGCCGCCUCGCCUGGAGCCUCCGGGCGUCCCACCAUCGCCCUCCUCCAAGCCCUGCCUCGAGGCCUGGCACGUGGGCAAGUGCAGCCAAAGUGGCUGUGGCCAGAGAGAAGAAAACAGUAAAAGAAGUCUCUGUUCCUUACGGGAGUCUGACAGGUAACCUCAGCCCAGCCUUAGGAUAUUGGGCCCGGAGCUCAGAGGAAGGAACUGGAGGAAGAGGAGUCAGAGACCCAGUCCUCAGACUGGUUUUGGGUGAGAUCUCUAUCCAUCAGGAGGAGGUAAGAUUUUUUUUAUCCUUUAUGCUUCUUAGUGGAGUUGGGUUCCUAUAACCUGUUGCUACCUUUUACAAAGGUCCCCAAGACACAAGAGUAAUACAUAGUCAUUACAGAAGAUUUGGAAAACCAAGAAAACCUUAAGGACAGAAUAUUCCCCACCAUUCAGAAUCCCACCACACAGACGCAAGCACUGUUAACACUUUGCUGCGUUUCCUUCUAGCGUGUUCUCUCGGUGUCUUUUUCACAGCUGAGACUCGCUUUCACAACCUGUUUGUGCUUAGUAGUGGGAUCUAAAAUGGCCGCCACCUUUGCAGUCACUCAUUCUGAGGAAUUUAUUGAUGCAUACUCCUAAUCUGUUAGGCAUUUCCAUAGUGUGGUUUUGCCCUUUCCCACCAGGGUGGGAGUCAACAGCCUUGCAAAGACCAUUGUUUCUGUUUUUCAGCUGAUUUCUUCAGGAGGUAAUUCCAGAAGAGGAAUUGCUACUCUUUGAGGCUGCGGACCCUGUUUGCUGAUGUUGACCCACUGGCCCUUCUGCCCGUGUGCUGGUGGAGAAGCACGAUGAACAGGUGCCUUGCACCCCCACUUCUGGGGAGCCAUCAGCACAGGCCCUGCCUGUUCCCAUGGUCCCAUGGUGCUUCCCACCCUGAACCCUUGUAGCACUAGCCAGGGAGAAAGCAGAGGAACAGUGAGCUGAUUUUCAGGCCUCUGGGGGCAGAGGGGGUUGGGCUUCCCUAUGACCCCCUCCCCACUUUCCCAGAUCUUCAAUAUUUGUUGUGAUGUGACAGCCACAAAAGCUGUAAGAACUGUGGGCUUUGGGUGCCUCCUUGUUAAGAGGGUGGGUGGGGGGGGGGAAUGCAUGCAGGGGUAUGGAGGCAGCUCAAGGAUUCCCAGAACCUGGGGAAGAAACUCCUUCGAAAUAAAUGUGUUAUUGUUAUUAUUGUGUUAUUGCUGUAUUAUUGUGUUGUGAAGAUAAGAAGUUUUACUCUGUACGCUAAUGCUUUCUCUUCCUCAAUAAAAAUAUAAAGGGUGUGUAAAGAUGGUGUCUGUCUGUGUUAUUGGGCAAACAUAGAUGGGUGCCCAGUGGGCGGG